AAAACUAAAUUGUGAUAAUAAAACUUUUUCCAAAAGAAAAAUCUGUUCUUAUCAGUUUAAUAUCUGAUAUUAAAUGGAUUUUUCGAACAGGGAGUCGGAAAUGGGGCUUGCUCCGUCCGCUCCACGCAUCGACCCGGUAUUGCAGUACCUCCGGGAACGGUGCACCACUU
RNAcentral lists this small nuclear RNA (170 nucleotides) under Hucho hucho (huchen). Its description in RNAcentral is "U2 spliceosomal RNA (ENSHHUG00000007088.1)". The stretch from base 20 to 170 matches the Rfam family "U2 spliceosomal RNA". From Rfam's summary of the family: U2 is a small nuclear RNA (snRNA) component of the spliceosome (involved in pre-mRNA splicing). Complementary binding between U2 snRNA (in an area lying towards the 5' end but 3' to hairpin I) and the branchpoint sequence (BPS) of the intron results the bulging out of an unpaired adenosine, on the BPS, which initiates a nucleophilic attack at the intronic 5' splice site, thus starting the first of two transesterification reactions that mediate splicing. The record is from RNAcentral. Lineage: Eukaryota; Metazoa; Chordata; Actinopteri; Salmoniformes; Salmonidae.